UAGAAAAGAAAGUUAGAUAAAAGCUGCUAACUUUUAAUCUUAGCGGUUAAAUUCCGUUACUUUUCU
Molecule: transfer RNA, 66 nt
Filed under: Halicryptus spinulosus
Lineage: Eukaryota; Metazoa; Priapulida; Priapulimorpha; Priapulimorphida; Priapulidae
Description: partial transfer RNA-Ser (AGN)
Source: RNAcentral